Molecule: transfer RNA, 64 nt
Filed under: Pisidia serratifrons
Lineage: Eukaryota; Metazoa; Arthropoda; Malacostraca; Decapoda; Porcellanidae
Description: tRNA-Cys
Rfam family: tRNA
About the family: Transfer RNA (tRNA) molecules are approximately 80 nucleotides in length. Their secondary structure includes four short double-helical elements and three loops (D, anti-codon, and T loops).
Source: RNAcentral
GGUUUUAUAGUAUAAAAAAUUACAUUAGAUUGCAAAUCUAAAAAUGUGUUGUUCACUUAAACUU